GUCUAAAUAAUUUUUAAAAAGGGUGCUCAGAUUUAUAUAUUGAAAAUUAGUCCUAAAGAAAAAAUACAAUUUUACAAACCAUUUAUUAUUGGUGCCUCUCCAAUUUGUUCAAACCUGCAUUAUAAUGUAAUAAGCAUGUUCUAUUGUCAUAAAUUCAACCUAAAUUCAAUUUUUUUCGAAAAGAAAAUGUUCUAAAAUAAUAUUUCUUUGUAGUUAUAAUAUUAUUAUUUACAAAGCCAGCAAACUUAGUGCCGUUUGCACACUGAAAGCUCAAACUUAUUGAAUCAGUUGUGGUUUUAUCUCAAAAUGAAUCACAUUAUAGCAAAUGAAACUUAGAACUGAUUUAAUCCUAUUUAAAAGAUUGGGCUUCUUUUGAACUUUCACUAUAUGAACAACCCUAAGUAAUUAUUUUUCUAUUACUGUAUGAAUACUUUUCUAUUACUGUACUUGUUUUUAUCAUGUUGAAAAUCAACUUCAAGGAUUCAAGCUAUUGAUAGGUAGCCUAAUUUUAAUCAGACAUUCAUUGAAUAAUCAAAUCAAAUGUUUUAUUGGCCUUCAGAAAUACAUGUAUCGACAAAGUGAUGAAAAAGGAGCAUAGUAAUAAUCUCAUGAGAAUAAUCUUAAAAUUAUUUCCAUAUUAAUAAUAGUAGAUUCUGGGGAGGGGAGUGUAACUCAUUUGUUAUAUCUAAUGUUUCUUAGAUUAUGAAUAUGUCCCAUCAUGAGUUUUUCUACAUAAAUAUGUUGAAUUGGAACCGUUUUGGGUGUAAGCGUAUGGUACUUUACUGUAAGUUGUGUAAUUCUGAAUGUUUAAAUAAAUAAAUUCGACAUAGAUAUUUCUGUAUUUGAACUAUCAAAUCAAAUAAGUUUUAUUCUGCCAAAAAAAUAUUACAAAUCAAAUUACAUACCGUACAAAAAAAUCCAGAACAGAAAAAAAUACAAAUUCUCAUGAAUUAAUAAGAAUAAUGGAUUAAAUAAAUUACAUUACCCUGAUUAAACUAUCAAUAAUUUGCCAUAUUUGAAAGUUCGUCAAAAGCUCACAAUCAGGUUUAUCAACUUAAUUUUCAACUAUCAAGUAGUUAAAUUGUUUAAAUAUUGUGUAUUGUCAAAUAUUAUUCGUCAACAGCUCACAACCAGGUUUAUCAACUUGAUUUUCAACUAUCAAAGAAUAUGAAGUAGGUAAAUUGUUUAAAUAUUGAUGGAAAUUAAUUUAAAAAACUCUUAAUUGAUAUUAAUCAACUGUAUCAUGCACUGGUAGGAUGAAGCUACACUGUAAUGUGUAUCAGUCAAAUCUUUGAUCUCUUGGUAACUAGAUUAUAUUUGUUAAAAGUUAAAAUGUAUCCGGACUAUAGAAUUUGAGAUGAUAUUUUAAUUAAAGCAAUUAGAAAUUAUCAGAUUUUGUGGUGAACGGGGUAUUGUACUGUGAGACCAACUUUUGAUUUUCUUAGUGGUACUUUUAAACUAGUUUUAGCCUUUGUUGUAUGUACCAAGAAUAAUCAUUAUUGGUUUUAUUUGCAUGUAUUUUUUUAGAUAUUGAAUAAACGUAUUAGAUAAGGAA
Molecule: long non-coding RNA, 1555 nt
Filed under: Nilaparvata lugens (brown planthopper)
Lineage: Eukaryota; Metazoa; Arthropoda; Insecta; Hemiptera; Delphacidae
Description: uncharacterized LOC111044114
Source: RNAcentral